GAUGAACGCUGGCGGCGUGCCUAACACAUGCAAGUCGAACGAAGCAAUUUAACGGAAGUUUUCGGAUGGAAGUUGAAUUGACUGAGUGGCGGACGGGUGAGUAACGCGUGGGUAACCUGCCUUGUACUGGGGGACAACAGUUAGAAAUGACUGCUAAUACCGCAUAAGCGCACAGUACCGCAUGGUACGGUGUGAAAAACUCCGGUAGGUAUGAGAUGGACCCGCGUCUGAUUAGCUAGUUGGUGGGGUAACGGCCUACCAAGGCGACGAUCAGUAGCCGACCUGAGAGGGUGACCGGCCACAUUGGGACUGAGACACGGCCCAA
Molecule: ribosomal RNA, 325 nt
Filed under: uncultured bacterium
Lineage: Bacteria
Description: bacterial SSU rRNA
Rfam family: Bacterial small subunit ribosomal RNA
Source: RNAcentral